This 468-nucleotide ribosomal RNA is filed under the name uncultured bacterium. Its description in RNAcentral is "partial 16S ribosomal RNA". It matches the Rfam family "Bacterial small subunit ribosomal RNA", at positions 28 to 507 of the family's 1533-position model. The record is from RNAcentral.
GACGAACGCUGGCGGCGUGCUUAACACAUGCAAGUCGAACGGAAAGGCCCUGCUUUUGUGGGGUGCUCGAGUGGCGAACGGGUGAGUAACACGUGAGUAACCUGCCCUUGACUUUGGGAUAACUUCAGGAAACUGGGGCUAAUACCGGAUAGGAGCUCCUGCUGCAUGGUGGGGGUUGGAAAGUUUCGGCGGUUGGGGAUGGACUCGCGGCUUAUCAGCUUGUUGGUGGGGUAGUGGCUUACCAAGGCUUUGACGGGUAGCCAGCCUGAGAGGGUGACCGGCCACAUUGGGACUGAGAUACGGCCCAGACGCCUACGGGAGGCAGCAGUGGGGAAUAUUGCACAAUGGGCGGAAGCCUGAGGCAGCAACGCCGCGUGCGGGAUGACGGCCUUCGGGUUGUAAACCGCUUUCGCCUGUGACGAAGCGUGAGUGACGGUAAUGGGUAAAGAAGCACCGGCUAACUACGUG